AUUGAACGCUGGCGGCAUGCUUUACACAUGCAAGUCGAACGGCAGCGCGGGCUUCGGCCUGGCGGCGAGUGGCGAACGGGUGAGUAAUACAUCGGAACGUGCCCAGUAGUGGGGGAUAGCUCGGCGAAAGCCGGAUUAAUACCGCAUACGACCUGAGGGUGAAAGCGGGGGAUCUUCGGACCUCGCGCUAUUGGAGCGGCCGAUGGCAGAUUAGCUAGUUGGUGGGGUAAAGGCCUACCAAGGCGACGAUCUGUAGCUGGUCUGAGAGGACGACCAGCCACACUGGGACUGAGACACGGCCCAGACUCCUACGGGAGGCAGCAGUGGGGAAUUUUGGACAAUGGGCGAAAGCCUGAUCCAGCAAUGCCGCGUGUGUGAUGAAGGCCUUCGGGUUGUAAAGCACUUUUGGCGGGAACGAAAAGGACUGUGCCAAUACCACGGUUCGAUGACGGUACCCGCAGAAUAAGCACCGGCUAACUACGAG
RNAcentral lists this ribosomal RNA (484 nucleotides) under uncultured bacterium. RNAcentral describes it as "partial 16S ribosomal RNA". It matches the Rfam family "Bacterial small subunit ribosomal RNA", at positions 29 to 507 of the family's 1533-position model. The record is from RNAcentral.